UCUCCGUAGGUGAACCUGCGGAGGUAUCAUUACUGAGCGAGGGUCUCCCGGCCCGACCUCCAACCCUUUGUGAACGCAACUAGUUGCUUCGGGGGGCGACCCUACCGUUCGGCGCGGCGCCCCUGGAGGUUAUCAAAAGACUACAUCUCUACGUCGGAGUUAUAAGUUAAUUGAACAAAACUUUCAACAAUAGAUCUCUUGGUUCUAGUAUCGAUGAAGAACGCAGC
RNAcentral lists this unclassified non-coding RNA (227 nucleotides) under uncultured fungus. RNAcentral's name for it is "sequence contains ITS1, 5.8S rRNA gene". The stretch from base 179 to 227 matches the Rfam family "5.8S ribosomal RNA", at positions 1 to 49 of the family's 154-position model. Lineage: Eukaryota; Fungi. The record is from RNAcentral.